Molecule: long non-coding RNA, 6356 nt
Filed under: Sus scrofa (pig)
Lineage: Eukaryota; Metazoa; Chordata; Mammalia; Artiodactyla; Suidae
Description: lncRNA (ENSSSCG00000062990.1)
Source: RNAcentral
AAAUUGGCACAUUGCAAAUCAACUAUACUUUAGUAAAAAAUUUUAAAAAAAUUAACCAGAAAAAAAAGUUAGGAGCAGAGUCCUAACAUAAAAUAAGUAUUCAGAAAAGUCCUUUUGUUUUGUUUUAUUUUUAUUUUGUCUUUCUUGGCCACCCCCAGCACAUGGAAUUCCUGGCCAGGGAUUAUAUCUGAGCCAUAGUUGUGACUUAAGCCGCAGCCGUGGCAAUGCCGGAUCCUUAAGCCACUGUGCUGGGCUGGGGAUUGAACCAGUGUCCCAGUGCUCCCUAGAUGCCACCGAUCCUGUUGCACCGCAGUGGGCACUCCAGAGAAGUCAUUUUGGAAAGAUGCUAAUACCAGCUGGAUGACAGAACUGGAUGACAGGAAGAGUUUCAGUCUGUCAGAGGCCCUGGAUCAGCCUCAAAGGAGGCAUUUAACUCUGUGUCCAAAAGUCUCAUUUUAUUUUUAAAAAUUAUUUAUUAUUUUUUGCUUUUUAGGGCCGCACCUGUGGCAUAUGAAGGUUCCCAGGCCAGGGGUCGAAUCGGAGCUACAGCUGCCGGCCUACACACAGUCACAGCAACUCAGGAUCUGAGCUGCAUCUGUGACCUACACCACAACUCAUGGUAAUGCCGGAUCCUUAACCCAGUGAGCAAGGCCAGGUAUUGAACCCAUAUCCUCAUGGACGCUUAGUCGGGUUCAUUAACGGCUGAGCUACUUUGGGAACUCCUGAAAGUGUCAUUUAAAGUACUAUUCUCAGUGGUAUAAAAUGUCUAACAACUAACAGUCAAAAAACCAAAACCAAGGGCAGGUUCUGAGCCAAUAACUGGACUUCACUACGUGUGGCUUUGGGAAGGGAUGUGUGCCCUCCACCUUCACCGGCGGAGGCAAGUUGGCUCUAACCCCGCUGCCUGUCCUGGUCGCCUGAAUUCCUGAGACCCUCUGUUUUUUCUUCUUCCUUCCCUCCCUCCCGGCCUCAUCCCUUCCUUCUUUAUUCUCUCCUUUCUUUUUUUUAAAAAAUAGAUUGUUUUGUAUUGUAUUGUAUUGUACUGUAUUGUAUUCUGAUCUGUUCUGUUUGCUUUUGGCUGCCCUGAGGCAUAUGGAGUUCCCGGCCAGGAAUCAGACCUGGGUCACAGCUGCAGAAACUCACUGUGCUGUACCAGGCCAGGGAUCAAACCUGCGUCCUGGCACUGCAGAAAUGACCCAGAUCCAUCUGUGCCAUAGCAGGAACUCCUAAUAGACCCUAUUUUUUUUUUUUUUUUUUUUAAGAGCAGUUUUACGUUCACAGCAGAACUGAGCAGAAACCACGGAGGCUUCCCACAGGCCUCCUGUGCCCAGACGUGCACAGCCUUUGCUAAGAGCAGAGAAAUUUAGUUACAGAGAAGACUUUGGGACAGGUGACCCCUGGAGUCCAGGUGAAUUUUUAGAGUGGUGAAGAUCACUAGCACACGUCUGUGCAGACGUGCAGCCAGCCCUGACUGUCGCAGUCCUGUGGUUGCGUGUGUGUAAUGUGCUCCCUCACAGAACCGUGGGCACAUUGCCUGGGGCCGUCUCGAAAAGAGCCCAGUUCAGGGAGGGCAGUUGUCACCUGUGCCCCCCGCCCAGGUCACAGGCAAGAGCGGGACCAGCCCACCCGGGCAGGGAAAUGUCGCCCCUGAAACACUGCCUCCCACCGCCGCCCAGGCCCAGCUCAACGUCGGAAGCCCUGGCGGCGGCUCGUUGCUCCCUUCCUGGAGAGGCCCUUGUGACACGGGAGGUUUCUGCAUCCGCUGCGUUGGAGCAGGUGGAGUGUUGUACUCCUGCGCCAGCCCUCCGUUCUCCUCUGUCCCCCUCUCACAGCAGCACCACGUUUGGGCCCAUCUUCUUCCAGAACUAAAGCCCAUCCCCAAGUGUAUUUCUCCGCCAGCCUCCUCUUCCUACAAGUCUGAAAACAUGUGUCUGUGAUACGUCUCAUCCUGAAAUACUAAGCUGUCCGACAGCGUCCUGCCCUGGGUUCGAAGUUCCGUGGCAGCGCAGAAAAAGGGAGAUAAAACUGGAUUAGCUCCUUGUUUUCUGACGAGAGAUGCCUUAGGGCUUCGUGUGCAGGGACCGGCGCCAGUUGGAAGUCACAGCCUGGAGAUGCCCACGGCGGUCUUGCCCAGGAGGGUUGCCUCCACGAUCCUGCUCUUGGCCGCUGCCCCGCUUCCGCGAAAGGCAACGCCGCCUUCCGGGUGCUCGAGUCUUGGCAUCAUCCUUCCUCCCUCGUCUCCCUCGUGCCCUCUGUCCCGUGGCUGUGGAACCCUGCCGGCUUGCUCUUCCUGCGCUCUCGGGAGUCUGACCUCCUCGCCGCCCGCAUCGUCCCUCGCCUCGCCUCGUGCUCUUCCGGCUCCUUCCCGCCUCCCCAAGAGGGGCCUUUCCCAUGGAAGUCGGAACAUUCCUCCUCCGCCCAGCCUUCCAGCGGCUUCCAGUCCCAGAGCGAAAGCACCCCUUAGGAGAGGAAACAGCCUGAACCCCCAGCCCGAGCCCUGCUCUGCGGAAUCUGGCCACCCCUUCUCUCUCCUUCUGAACCCCCGCCCGAGCCCUGCCUGGUGGAAUCUGGCCACCCCCUCGCCUCCCUCUUGCUCUGCCGCAUCCACUCUGACCCCCUCGCCGUUUGCUGAACAGUUCAGAAGCGCUCCUGCUCCUGGCCUUUGCCUUUUCUGUCUUGCCUGGAAGACUCUUCCCUCCACUAUCACUCCCUUCUGGCCACCUGUCCCCUUAAACCAGAGCCCCCCCCCCCCCCCCCGCCCCCAGGUGACCAGAGCUCCCCUCCCCACACACAACCUAUGCUCUUUUCUGUGUCACUCACCGAUGGGCCCGAGGCCUCGUUUUCUUUCUUGGCGCCUGUCUUCUCCCACUGGAACGGAAGCUCCACCAGGGCGGGAACAUCUGACCAUGGCCCGGCUUGUGGCAGGGCUCAGUAUUUGUCACGUGAAUGAGUAGUUACCGUGCUGUGAUGAGAACCCAGUCUGCAGCCCAUGGCCUCAGCUUGAGUCUCAGUUUAGUAGUAUUACUGGUGCGCUUGGCUGUGUGGCGUCUCAGAAGACCCCUCUGUAAAGUGGGGCCAGCAGCUGUGCCGACAUUAGGUGAUGGUUGUGUUUUUUAUUUCCUAUUUAAAUUUUACAUUUUUAUGCAUUUUUAAUUUUUAAAAAUUAAACUAUAGUUAAUUUAAGGUGUUGCAUUAGUUUCAGGUGUACAGCAAAAUGAUUGUUAUACAUAUAUAUACAUAAAUGUACACACACACACACACACACACUCACACACACACACACGAGUAGAGCUCCCCGAGCUGUACAGCAGGUCCUUGUUGAUGACCUGCUUUGUACAGAGUAGUGUGUAUCUGCUCAUCCCAAACUCCUCAUUUAUCCUCCUCUCUUUUCCCUUUGGUGACCAUAAAUUUGUGUCUGUGUCUGUGCAUCUACUUCUGUUUUGUGUAGAAGUCCACUUGUAUCCAUGUUUUUUAGAUUCCGUGUAGAAAUGAAGCUUGAGAGAGGCCAUAGAGCGUUUCGCGCAGUCGUCCCUGGGAGCUGGUGCUCAGCGAGUGAGCCUUCGGGGUCGCCCUUACCGAGCAAUGAGAACACCAUCACACACCUGCCCCCUGAGAGCAGAGGCAGAGAUGGGGACGCAGGCCAGGGAGGCAGUCGUCAGGUGUCAGACAGCGAGUGACCGGGGGCAGAGCACAGCGAGAAGUGGCUCCCGUGGCCCCACUUCAUCUAGAACGGGGCUGCGUCUGGGGCUUUGCUGAUGUCAUGAGUGCAGGAGGUCAAGGUUCAUGUGGGUCUGGACACUGAAGAAGGUCAUUUAACCUUUCCCGAAGUCUGUUCCCUGGAGCCCUAGUCCUCUCACCUGCUCCAAGGAAGACAUGCUCCCAUUUGGGGAGCGUUAAGCACUGUAUCGCUGCUCAGAUACUGUCCGUGCAUGUUGUCGUGGCAGAGGCUCUGCGAAAUCCUCCGUCAAGGGUCCCGUUUUACUCUCCUGCGUAAUCUCCUCGAAGCAUAUUUGACUCCAGACCUGCUUGUGUACGUGAGGUCUGUUAACACCCUGCAGGACAAAGGUUCUGCAGAACGUGCUUGGAAAACCCCGGUAUAAGGCGAUCCACCCAGCCAGGCUCUGGCCGCUGCUGGCGUUGGUCAGGCUGUGGUCGCUGGGGAUGGACCACGAUGGAGAUAAUAUGGGCGGAGGCUGGAGGUCCACACGGUCGGGGCGGCCGAUUGGAAACCAACCCACCAGCGGGAGGCCCAGUCCUGAGUGUCUAGAGCAGCCUGGGGGGGCCCCUUGAGCCCCAGGCAGGCAGCAGCAUGCCGCAGACAGCGUCCAGGGGUGGCGAGAGGUGGUUCCUGGGUUUCCUAACGGAAAACUCAGGAGAACUCAGCACCGGGGAAUCUGGUAGGAGGCCCUGUGCCAAGGUUCAGGGAGGGAGGGAGCCAGCUGGUAGGUGGACCUUGUGUGAGCGUGGAGCCGUGAAAGCGGCCGUGCUUUCCUCUCCAGGGGCCUGGGAGGCUGUUCAGGAACACAGCAGGAGGCAGAAUCCAUCAAAGCAGGUUGCAAGAUGGGCGGCUGGAGGUCCAGAAGCUCGGGGUCAGGGAGCAGAACAGGCCUCGUUCUGCCGUGCAGGGAAGAAGGCCAGAGUGACCGGGUCUUCUUAAAGUCCUUUAUGACUUCACAUGCCUGGAAUUUCACCCUCUUCCUGUGCUGAGCCCACCGGGAGAGCCACGGGGACACAGCUGUGGGGAAGGAGGUGCAGGGACUGGGAGCCAGGCUGUCACCCCGGGAUGGAAGGUUCUCGCAUCCAUGAGACAGAGCCGGGUAGCAGGCGGCCGAAGCUCCCUAGCUAUUCCUCCUUGCUUCGUCCUAGGCUUCGGGUCUCAGCCGAGUGCUGUCUGCUCCACAGGUCGCACCUCUCAGCUGGGGGACAUCGGGGACGCACUUUGCAGCCCCACCCCGGAGGUGGAUUUGCAAACUGACACCCAGGAGGGGUCCUGGUCCUCCUGUUUGGGUUGCUCUGCACCAUUUCCUGGGGAGCAGCUGAGGAACCAAGGCCAUUUGAAAACGAGGCUGUGUAGACUUGGUUGGUGGCCAAGUUAAGUUUGUAAGGAAGAGAACUUGCCAUAAAACUACCCCCACUGUCUGUCAGUAGUCUGAAGCCAGAGAAGGCUACGCUGCUCGAUACCAUCUGGGGGAAGGUGUUUGCCAAACUCUGGGAAUAUUUGCAGUUUCCUCAAUUCAUAGUUAGGUCUCUUAAGCCAGUUUCCACCCACCCUGCCCAACAGUUUCUGCUGGGACUAGAUAAAGCCGCUUCACACCCUUUGAAGUGGCCCUUUGAAAUAGCCACUUCAGAGGUGUGGCAGAUACUCUUUUUAAAAAUUUGUAUUCCAUACAUUUAACACACAUCCAGGACACAGAACAGAAUACAACUGGUAUAAGGCAGGCACCAGCCAACCCAGAACAUAGAAAGGAAAGAGUCUGAGCAGAGUGGUAAUCCAGGAGGUCCUCAUGGAAGAGGGGACGUUUAAGCGUGGCCUCGACAGACAAAGAACAGAACAGACUCAUGGUUGUCAAGGCGGGGGAGGGAGUGGGAUGGACGGGGAGUGUGGGGUUCAUAGAUGCGAACUAUCCCAUUUAGGAUGGUAAGCAGUGAGGUCCUGCUGUGCAGCCCAGGGAAACCGAUCCAAUCUCCCGGGAUAGACCCCGAUGGAAGAGAAUACAAGAAGGGGAAUGUGUGUUUAUGUAUGACUGGGUCACUGUGCUGCACAGCAGAACCUGGCACAACCCUGUAAAUCAACUCUACUGCAAUACAAAAUGCAAACAAAGAUUAAAAAUUUUAUCCUGAUGGAGUUCCCAUCGUGGCGCAGUGGUUAACGAAUCCGACUAGGAACCAUGAGGUUGCGGGUUUGGUCCCUGCCCUUGCUCAGUGGGUUAAUGAUCCGGCGUUGCCGUGAGCUGUGAUGUAGGUUGCAGAUGCGGCUCGGAUCCCGCGUUGCUGUGGCUCUGGCGCAGGCCGGUGGCUACAGCUCCGAUUCCACCCCUAGCCUGGGAACCUCCAUAUGCCGUGGGAGCAGCCCAAAGAAAUAGCAAAAAGACAAAUAAAUAAAUACAUAAAUAAUUUUAUCUUGAAAUAAAAAAAGAGAAGAGUCUGCAUUGUUGAUUAGCUUGCUGACCUCCUGGGGGGUUCUCUCUGGGGAACGUAAUGGGGGGAAUUGCAGAGACUUUGAAAAGGGAGUAGUCUUGCUUUCAGCUCUAAUGUUUUGUCUCCACGUUAAGGAGCCCUUAGGUAAGAGUGAGCUCGACUGAGAAAUGGAUAGACAUUUCCUCCCUCUCUGGAUUCCAUCCCCCAUGUUCUCAUUC